This 443-nucleotide ribosomal RNA is filed under the name uncultured soil bacterium. Its description in RNAcentral is "bacterial SSU rRNA". It matches the Rfam family "Bacterial small subunit ribosomal RNA", at positions 26 to 518 of the family's 1533-position model. The record is from RNAcentral.
AGAACGAACGCUGGCGGCAUGCCUAACACAUGCAAGUCGAACGAGACCUUCGGGUCUAGUGGCGCACGGGUGCGUAACGCGUGGGAAUCUGCCCUUGGGUUCGGGAUAACAGUUGGAAACGACUGCUAAUACCGGAUGAUGACUUCGGUCCAAAGAUUUAUCGCCCAGGGAUGAGCCCGCGUCGGAUUAGCUAGUUGGUGGGGUAAAGGCCUACCAAGGCGACGAUCCGUAGCUGGUCUGAGAGGAUGAUCAGCCACACUGGGACUGAGACACGGCCCAGACUCCUACGGGAGGCAGCAGUGGGGAAUAUUGGACAAUGGGCGAAAGCCUGAUCCAGCAAUGCGCGUGAGUGAUGAAGGCCUUAGGUUGUAAAGCUCUUUUACCCGGGAUGAUAAUGACAGUACCGGAGAAUAAGCCCCGGCUAACUCCGUGCCAGCAGCCGC